Molecule: unclassified non-coding RNA, 575 nt
Filed under: Hevea brasiliensis (rubber tree)
Lineage: Eukaryota; Viridiplantae; Streptophyta; Magnoliopsida; Malpighiales; Euphorbiaceae
Source: RNAcentral
CUUAAAAUCAUGGUAGAUCCUAUUUAUUAUUAUUAUUAUUUUCAAAUGAUGAUUCUUAUUUGAUCAGUGCAUGAAUGGGGCAUAUACAUAGUAUAUGCAAGAAUUUUCCAUCAAAAACAUUGUUUCAACCUAUAUGUGAAACAGACAUGCAGUAAUCUGAUGUUGGAUGCAUGACGGCACAUGAUGAGGAAUGGUGGUUGUGGGAGUUGAAACAUAAUGAUGGGCGGUAUGGUAGCAGUUAUUAAGUUGGGGGCAGUGUAGUAGACUGGCNNNNNNNNNNAAUAAUAGUAGUAAGAUAUACAAUGGAGGUAUAUGUGAUGAAGAAAAAUUUUGGUUAUAAGGGCAACGAUAUAGAGGAUAAGGUUUUGGCAGUAUAAUUUUGAUAUAAAACCUAUGCAAUAAGAGGAUGGGGGGGUGGUACAAUUUUCCUAUUGUAGGAAUGAUAAGAUGACUCAGACUCUUAAAAUUUAGAAGGAAGGGUUUCAUUUAUCUCCAUCAAUGGUGAGUAAAGAGACAAAUUAUGAUUGCAUGGAUGUAAAACCUAUAUAGUGAUCAAAGAGAAAGGCAGAGCAGGG